RNAcentral lists this ribosomal RNA (292 nucleotides) under uncultured bacterium. RNAcentral's name for it is "partial 16S ribosomal RNA". It matches the Rfam family "Bacterial small subunit ribosomal RNA", at positions 505 to 796 of the family's 1533-position model. The record is from RNAcentral.
GUGUCAGCCGCCGCGGUAAUACAGAGGGUGCAAGCGUUAAUCGGAAUUACUGGGCGUAAAGCGUGCGCAGACGGUCUCGUAAGUCGGGUGUGAAAGCCCCGGGCUCAACCUGGGAAUUGCAUUCGAAACUGCGAGGCUAGGGUACGGAAGAGGGAAGCGGAAUUUCUGGUGUAGCGGUGAAAUGCGUAGAUAUCAGAAGGAACAUCAGUGGCGAAAGCGGCUUCCUGGUCCAGUACCGACGUUCAGGCACGAAAGCGUGGGGAGCAAACAGGAUUAGAUACCCCCGUAGUCC